CCUGGUGAACACCGACACUCUGGAGCUGAAGCUGAUCGACUUCGGCUCCGGUCACCUGCUUGACAGCGCUGGCUAUGACAGCUUGAAAUAUAUAGGAGCAUUCCUGUUCUGCCCACCAGAGGUCUUCUCCAAACCCAAAUACUACGCCGUCCCAACAAACGUCUGGGCUCUAGGUGUGACGCUGUUUAUGAUGGUGAACACAAAGCUGCCUUUUUGCAACGUCAAGCAAAUAUUGGACGCCUGUCCUUACACUUGGAAAGCUGAUGUAUCCAGCGCAUGCAGUGAUCUGAUCUAUCAGUGUCUGGAGCGCAGACCAGCGAAGCGGCCCACGUUAGAGCAGAUCUUACAGCACCAAUGGUUUGAAAGUCAGCUCUAGGAUGAAGGCAGGCGUGGGAUCCUUCUGUCAUCUGGGUCAGACGUAAGAUGAUGAAACAGAGACUGAGUGAAGACAGGGUCAAGAAUACUGUUCCUCAGAGGACACACAACAUCCAGUCGGCUGAAGAACCCUGGACUAGACAGGAAACACGACCCAGAGACGGAAACAAUGGCUAAUUUUCUUGAGAACAUGAACCUAGACUUCUAAAGGACCGAUGUGGCCAUUUCUAAUAUAGUAAAUAAUUAAACCAUAAAUCAAGCAAGAAGAAGAUGAUGCAGGCUGCUGUGAAGCGUGUUCACAAGAGUUCUAACA
Molecule: long non-coding RNA, 688 nt
Organism: Cyprinus carpio (common carp)
Lineage: Eukaryota; Metazoa; Chordata; Actinopteri; Cypriniformes; Cyprinidae
Exons: 4
Source: RefSeq, a predicted model, not a curated record